This 625-nucleotide long non-coding RNA is filed under the name Homo sapiens (human). RNAcentral's name for it is "non-protein coding lnc-ERCC5-3:2". Lineage: Eukaryota; Metazoa; Chordata; Mammalia; Primates; Hominidae. The record is from RNAcentral.
CCCCGGGGCCCGGGGCAAGCAUGUUCGAGGCGGUCACCCCCGGGCCUCGGCGCGCUCCCCCUGGCGGAGAGCCUCGUCUUCCGGCCGGUGAGGGAAGGUAGAGGAGGGAGUAGGGGCGAGGAGGCCUCGGCGGCCCUUGGGCUCUGCGGGCUGGGGACUCGGGGUGCCCGCGACACGCGCGGAGGCGCGGGCUGGGUUGGCCACGGGCAGGGAGCGCAGCCGCGCUCCUUCCUCUCUGCCCGCGUCGCCUCCGCGCGCACUGGUUCUGCGCGGCGGGGCUUGGCCUGCGCGACUGUCUACUCCGUCCCGGCGGCCUCGGAGCCCGGCCGAGCGGCGAGCUUGUCAGAGGACGGUGGUGGAAACGCUCCCGGCCUCCCCAGGGGCGCGGGCUGGAGGCUGGCGCCAGGCGCGGAGGACUCCCGGUAUCUUUUGACAGGCUGGCGCCUCGGCUCUGGGGACCCGCAGUAAGCAAAUGGGCAGAGAUAUUAACUGGUAAAAGUCCAACUGAUCACCCAGGGUGGACUGAAUCUCUCAACUGAUGCUCUGUUGCUGGAGCCCUGAGAAACCCGCAUACCCUGCCCGGGCACCUGCCUGGGGUUGUCUGCUGCGUGUCCUGGGAUGGUUC